This 335-nucleotide ribosomal RNA is filed under the name uncultured bacterium. Its description in RNAcentral is "bacterial SSU rRNA". It matches the Rfam family "Bacterial small subunit ribosomal RNA", at positions 8 to 334 of the family's 1533-position model. The record is from RNAcentral.
AGGGUUUGAUUAUGGCUCAGGAUGAACGCUAGCUACAGGCUUAACACAUGCAAGUCGAGGGGCAGCAUGAUUGAAGCUUGCUUCAAUUGAUGGCGACCGGCGCACGGGUGAGUAACGCGUAUCCAACCUUCCGUACACUCAGGGAUAGCCUUUCGAAAGAAAGAUUAAUACCUGAUGGUAUCUUAAGCACACAUGUAAUUAAGAUUAAAGAUUUAUCGGUGUACGAUGGGGAUGCGUUCCAUUAGGUAGUAGGCGGGGUAACGGCCCACCUAGCCGACGAUGGAUAGGGGUUCUGAGAGGAAGGUCCCCCACAUUGGAACUGAGACACGGUCCAA